Molecule: RNA transcript, 1334 nt
Organism: Manihot esculenta (cassava)
Lineage: Eukaryota; Viridiplantae; Streptophyta; Magnoliopsida; Malpighiales; Euphorbiaceae
Exons: 2
Source: RefSeq, a predicted model, not a curated record
GUAGCUGACUUUUAUAUAUAAACAGCUGAAAAGACCUAUUCAGGGCAUUCAUUCAUCAAUAAAGCCUUUCCCCCUUAAUAUUCUCUCUCUUCCUCUCCUAUCUCUCUCUAAACUCACUCCCAUUCUUCUGAUUCUCUCUCUUUCUGUUACCACUGAGAGUGUCAGAUCUAUUAGGAAUUUUCUAACAUUUGGUAUCAGAGCGCAGUUGAUUCUGGCUGGAGUUGGUGAGUUGGAGUCGCAAAUGACCAGGUCUCAGAUUGUUAGUAUCGACACUGUGAAAUUGGCAGAAUUCGAGGAGUAAUUGCAAGAAUUGCAGGAUAAUUUCCAUCAGAAUUCUGAAGAGUUGAAAGGAUUAAAGGACGAGAUGAGGACCUGUAUCUGAGAAGAAUUGAUUGCAAACACUGCUAGUCUCAAGAAUUCUGUUCUUGAUGAGUUAAAAGUCUUAUUGAUUCAUUCUGGUGGGAAAUAAGGGCAAAGGAAUUGCGACAGCUGAGGGAGAAACUUCUGGUGUGAAAGUAGAGGCAUCUUGCCCAUGCCGAGAGAACAGGGAAGCAACUCUCAGCCUGCUGGAGUUGCGAUUACAGCAAAUCCCGAAUGCAAAGAAAUCUCCUCCUCUUCACUCCAUUAAAUGGAAUGCAAAUGACUUAUCAUUAGGAAAACCUGGAACUAGUGGUAUUGGUGGUGUUCUACGUAAUUCACAAGGUAUUUUCUUGUCUCUUCUCUUAUAAUGCUGGUUGCAGUGAUUCAAAUCUUGCAGAGCUGAAAGCUAUAGCUAAAGCUUUGGAAAUUUCCAAAGACCUCUCCAUUACCUCUUCUUGCGAAAGUAUUUUCAUCGAAUUAGAUUCAAACAUUGUUUUGUCAUGGGUCGCUGAUCUCAACUCUGUUCUUUGGAGAACUUCCUCAAUCAUAAACUCCAUUGUAAACAUACCUUGCCUCACGUUGAGUUCAUUCACUCACCUUGUAAGCAAAUUCAGCUACUGAUUCUCUAGCUAAAUAAGGUGUUUUUCGUAAUAGUGAUUUUGUAGCCUUUUUUUGAUUUGAUGCUUCUCUUCUUUUUGUAGCUUGGCUUGAUUGGGUUUGCAGCUCUUUUUGUUUGGGUGUAAAUGGGUAUGCCUUUUGCCAUGGGUUAGAUUUUAGGAGCUACCAAACCUCCCUUUUUUCUUUGUAAUAAAAUCUCUUAACCUAUAAAAAGAAAAAAAAAGAGUGUCUGUAUCUUUUAAUUAAACAAUAUGUUGAUCAAAAUAGUGUUGGUAACUUUUAAUUAGCGAUAACUAAACAAUGUGUUUUUCGUAAUAGUGAUUUUGUAGCCUAUCUUUGAUUUGGUGGUUCUCUUC